Molecule: long non-coding RNA, 265 nt
Organism: Ochotona princeps (American pika)
Lineage: Eukaryota; Metazoa; Chordata; Mammalia; Lagomorpha; Ochotonidae
Exons: 2
Source: RefSeq, a predicted model, not a curated record
GGGGAAGAGGGUGUUUAUUCUUUCCAAGCUUAUUUGCAAGAGAGCUGUGGUGGAAGCACAGGACAGGAGGCAAAGGAGACCUGGGAUCCAGGAUUAACUCACUGAGCCCUGUGGCUUCUGGUUUUUAAUCACCCACACUUCCUGACCAUUAGGACACUGAAAGUUUCUACAUGCUGAGGAGCAAACUGGGAAAACACAUUCUAUAAGAGAUUGUACCUCUGAACAGAUGCAAUUGACGCAGUAAACCAACCCGUAAGGUUCCAGG